Molecule: long non-coding RNA, 435 nt
Filed under: Pongo abelii (Sumatran orangutan)
Lineage: Eukaryota; Metazoa; Chordata; Mammalia; Primates; Hominidae
Description: lincRNA
Source: RNAcentral
CCAGGCCCAGAAGUGUAAGAUCCGGUCCCUAUCUUCAGGGGGGUGGCAAACAAACAUAACAUAAAGGAGAGUGUCUGGCUUGUGUCUUCUGGGUUCGUGAUCCCCCUGACUUCAGUGUGAGAAUGUGGCCAGAGCGUCUGGGGAAGACAGGGAGAGUUGUCAGAGAGGAGUUUUGAGGAGGCCCUGAAGGCUCGCCGGCUGUUAAGGCUGAGCUGUAGUGGGCAAGAAGAGAUGGCCAGUUCAGGUAGAGGAAGCCUGCUUUGAGCUGAAGACCAGAGGUGGAUCUGGACAGGGCUUCCCAGGACCGGUAUUUUUCCCUCUCCACCCUGGUCUUCUCCUGUAGCGUGUGGCCGCCUUUUCCAGCAUGGCCUCCUGCUUCCCUGGUGCACUUUUUGGAGAAGGUGGUGGAAUCAGAGGUUUCUGGCUGACUCGGUG